This 253-nucleotide ribosomal RNA is filed under the name uncultured bacterium. Its description in RNAcentral is "partial 16S ribosomal RNA". It matches the Rfam family "Bacterial small subunit ribosomal RNA", at positions 524 to 776 of the family's 1533-position model. The record is from RNAcentral.
UACGUAGGGUGCGAGCGUUGUCCGGAAUUAUUGGGCGUAAAGAGCGUGUAGGCGGCCAGAUAAGUCCGCUGUGAAAUCUCGAGGCUCAACUUCGAGCUGUCGGUGGAAACUAUCUGGCUAGAGUCCGGAAGAGGAGAAUGGAAUUCCUGGUGUAGCGGUGAAAUACGCAGAUAUCAGGAAGAACACCCGUGGCGAAGGCGGUUCUCUGGGACGGUACUGACGCUGAGACGCGAAAGCGUGGGGAGCGAACAGG